RNAcentral lists this ribosomal RNA (207 nucleotides) under uncultured bacterium. Its description in RNAcentral is "partial 16S ribosomal RNA". It matches the Rfam family "Bacterial small subunit ribosomal RNA", at positions 568 to 774 of the family's 1533-position model. The record is from RNAcentral.
CAUGCAGGCGGUCAGGCGCGUUUUGUGUGACAGCGGAUGGCUUAACUAUCCGAGGAUACGAAAGACGGCGUGACUUGAGAGCGCGAGAGGGACACGGAAUUCCGGGUGGAGUGGUGAAACGCGUAGAGAUCCGGAGGAACACCGAAGGCGAAGGCAGUGUCCUGGCGCGUAUCUGACGCUGAGGUGCGAAAGCCAGGGGAGCGAACG